This 76-nucleotide transfer RNA is filed under the name Weeksella virosa. RNAcentral's name for it is "tRNA-Val(tac)". It matches the Rfam family "tRNA". Rfam says of the family: Transfer RNA (tRNA) molecules are approximately 80 nucleotides in length. Their secondary structure includes four short double-helical elements and three loops (D, anti-codon, and T loops). Lineage: Bacteria; Pseudomonadati; Bacteroidota; Flavobacteriia; Flavobacteriales; Weeksellaceae. The record is from RNAcentral.
GGGCGAAUAGCUCAGUUGGUUCAGAGCAUCUGCCUUACAAGCAGAGGGUCGGGGGUUCGAAUCCCUCUUCGCCCAC